UGGCCCUACGGGAGGCAGCAGUCGGGAAUAUUGCGCAAUGGAGGAAACUCUGACGCAGUGACGCCGCGUAUAGGACGAAGGUCUUCGGAUUGUAAACUAUUGUCGUUAGGGAAGAGAAAGGACAGUACCUAAGGAGGAAGCUCCGGCUAACUACGUGCCAGCAGCCGCGGUAAUACGGAGGAUCCGAGCGUUAUCCGGAUUUAUUGGGUUUAAAGGGAGCGUAGAUGGGUUGUUAAGUCAGUUGUGAAAGUUUGCGGCUCAACCGUAAAAUUGCAAUUGAUACUGGAAGCCUUUAGUACAGUUGG
RNAcentral lists this ribosomal RNA (305 nucleotides) under uncultured bacterium. Its description in RNAcentral is "bacterial SSU rRNA". It matches the Rfam family "Bacterial small subunit ribosomal RNA", at positions 333 to 655 of the family's 1533-position model. The record is from RNAcentral.